This 29-nucleotide non-coding RNA is filed under the name Homo sapiens (human). Lineage: Eukaryota; Metazoa; Chordata; Mammalia; Primates; Hominidae. The record is from RNAcentral.
UAGAUGUCCACAUCCGACUUCAUGAUGGA